RNAcentral lists this ribosomal RNA (495 nucleotides) under uncultured bacterium. Its description in RNAcentral is "partial 16S ribosomal RNA". It matches the Rfam family "Bacterial small subunit ribosomal RNA", at positions 28 to 523 of the family's 1533-position model. The record is from RNAcentral.
GAUGAACGCUAGCGGGAGGCCUAACACAUGCAAGCCGAGCGGUAUUGUUUCUUCGGAGAUGAGAGAGCGGCGUACGGGUGCGUAACACGUGUGCAACCUGCCUUUAUCUGGGGGAUAGCCUUUCGAAAGGAAGAUUAAUACUCCAUAAUAUAUUGAACGGCAUCGUUUAAUAUUGAAAGCUCCGGCGGAUAGAGAUGGGCACGCGCAAGAUUAGCUAGUUGGUGAGGUAACGGCUCACCAAGGCGAUGAUCUUUAGGGGGCCGGAGAGGGUGGUCGCCCACACUGGUACUGAGACACGGACCAGACUCCUACGGGAGGCAGCAGUGAGGAAUAUUGGUGAAUGAGUUCAAGCCUGAACCAGCCAUCCCGCGUGAAGGACGACUGCCCUAUGAGUUGUAAACUUCUUUUGUAUAGGGAUAAACCUACCCUCGUGAGGGUAGCUGAAGUUACUAUGCGAAUAAUCACCGGCUAACUCCGUGCCAGCCGCCGCCGUAA